CAUAUACUCCCUUCGUCCGGAAAUACUUGUCGAAGGAAUGGAUGUAUCUAGACGUAUUUUAGUUCUAAGAUACAUUAAUUUUUAUUCAUUUCUCUGACAAAUAUUUUCGGACCGAGUGAGUAUUAU
This is a non-coding RNA of Triticum aestivum (bread wheat), 126 nucleotides long. The record is from Rfam. NCBI's taxonomy places the organism in Eukaryota, Viridiplantae, Streptophyta, Magnoliopsida, Poales, Poaceae.